ACAACUGGACAGACGCCUUCUAGUAUUCCCACUGAUACAGGUAAGGUACUCGUAGAUGAUGCAGCUGAGGAGGAACUUUGUGCUGGCUGAGCAGGAAUUGCAGCAAAUACAUCUCCAAAAAGUGAUUCAGAGGCGAAGCCAUUCCCUGAAACUUUAGAAUCCUUAGUUGCUGAUUGGUUGGAGGCCACAGCAGCCUCUUGAGGUUUUGGAAUACUAGAAGGCGUCUGUCCAGUUGUCAACUGUGGUCUAGGUUGGACAGAGGGCAUCAAACCUGAUGCUGUUAGCCCAAAUCCAUCCUGAGUUGGAGGAGGACUAAUCUCCCUACUUUGAUUUUGGGUAGUUGGGACACCUAGACCACCACCAGCCCAAUCAGUUGAGACAUUUGAAUUUGAAGGGCGAGGAACAGCCAUGGUACUACCCCUAGGCACAGCUUGGCUUGCAGGAACUAGUUGUGGAUGAGACACAGAGUUGGAAGGCAUAGCUUGGGAUGGCCUCACAAAUUGACUUUGCUGAGAUGAGAAAUAUUGCUGGUUUGUGCUUGCAUUUCCAGGCAUCUGUGGUGGUCUGAUACCAAAGUUUUGAGGUGCCACUGACGUGGUACCAGCCAUUUGAGGAGCAGGUGUUACUGCUUUAGGAGCAGGUGUGGCUGCAAGGUUUAUCUGAGGAGCAGGAAUUUUCGCUGAAGCAGGACCAUAUAAUGCUGCCUUCACUAUAUCUGGAGUCAGCUCCCGCUUACUUUGUGCCACAGUAACAAGCUU
This 758-nucleotide unclassified non-coding RNA is filed under the name Hevea brasiliensis (rubber tree). The record is from RNAcentral. Lineage: Eukaryota; Viridiplantae; Streptophyta; Magnoliopsida; Malpighiales; Euphorbiaceae.